UUAAAUUGUAGAUAUAUGUGGGAGAAAAGCCAGAGCGGCUAAUGGUCAUUGUCACAAAAAGACGUAGUUUUCCUGUCAACAUUUUAUCCGAAAUAAUACUUAAGUAAAAUACAGGGAAACAAUUGGAGGGGUUACAGUCAAUGAUCCCCAUUCAGAGGUCAAGAGGGAAGUUUUGAGAAUGGAAAGAAAUCUGACCUAAGUGGGCACCACCUUUUUUUUCUUUCUUUCUUUCUUUUUGGUACCAGGAAUUGAGCCCAAAGGUGCUUAACUACUGAGCCAUAUCCCCAGCCUUUUUUGUAUUUUAUUUAGAGACAGGGUCUUGCUAAGUUGGUCAGGGCCGUGCUAUGUUGCUCUGGCUUUGAACUCUGAGAUUCUCCUGCCUCAGCCUCCCAACCUGGGAUUACAGGCGUGUGCCGCUGGGCCCCUACUUUUGAUACCAUAUCAUAAUGUUAGUGGAUAUUCCUGGAUUUGAAGUUAAGAAAUGGGAUUUUGUUGUGGCUGUUGCUGCUGCUGCUGCUGUUCUGGAGAUUGAACCCAGGGCCUCACACAUGCUUAACACUGACUUUAUGUCUAGCUAUCUCUCCAGAGGUCCUGGCCCCUAUAGGGAUUUUAAAAUAAGUUGUAAUAAAGAUGGAACAAGUAAAAUUGUAUGUAGCCCUGCUCUACUCCGAAGCUAGUUUUAAAUGAUGUUUCUGACACAGUCUCUGGAAUUGUAAGCUGAUGGUCUCCAGAAGCAUCUAGCUGAAUCUGAUUAUAUUUUUGUAUUUAGCCUUAUUCUUCCAUACUUUUGUUUUAGAAUUGAAAGUAGAUUCAUUUAUCUUCUUUUCAAAGAACUCUCUUGCCUUACUUUGACUUUUUUUUUUUUUUCCCUUCCACUUCCCAAAGUUUUAGUCCAGCCCAAAUAUCCUUUUAGCAAAAUUCCCAGGACCUCAUUGGACCAGUUUGCAGCCAGUCUCAUCUCAUUAUUGA
This 969-nucleotide long non-coding RNA is filed under the name Marmota monax (woodchuck). Lineage: Eukaryota; Metazoa; Chordata; Mammalia; Rodentia; Sciuridae. The record is from RNAcentral.